Long non-coding RNA from Betta splendens (Siamese fighting fish), 1006 nucleotides. RefSeq lists it as uncharacterized. The transcript has 4 exons. NCBI's taxonomy places the organism in Eukaryota, Metazoa, Chordata, Actinopteri, Anabantiformes, Osphronemidae. The record is from RefSeq and is a predicted model, not a curated record.
GCAUUCAGCCUUUCUGGACGGUACAUCAGCCAGUGUUUUCUCUUGCCAGAGAAAGUGCGACUUUUAGCAACAUCUGCAGUAGUUCAUGUAUUUUUAACAUGUGCUAUGACAAGAUGUAAUGCAGAAUAAAAUUAUGAGCCUUAAUGUGAACUCCUUUUUCCCCAGCAGACUACACAGUAGAUUUUCUUGGUCAGUGCUGCUUUACAGAACCAAAGAUGAACUGUCCACUACCGGACACCAAUGUUUGGACAUAGUUAAGGAACAACUGCAGAGGCACAGAAUGGGAUGGUAUUUGGACUGAACUACACAGUAGACUUUCUUGGUCAGUGCUGCUUUACAGAACCAAAGAUAAACUGUCCACUACCGGACACCAAUGUUUGGACAUAGUUAAGGAACAACUGCAGAGGCACAGAAUGGGAUGAUAUUUGGACUCAGUGAGUGGAGGAGGUUGGUAUUGGUGGGACAGUUGUAGAAAUUCUAAUCUAGUUCUUUGUUGUUAUCAUUGUGCCUUUCUGCUGGCUACAGUAACUUGAAGAAAAAUUCACUCUGUUAAUAAAAAAUGUUAAUAAAUGUCAGAGAAAUUAUACAGAACACCAGAAGCAGGCUGCACUCUGUGACAUAUUAAUGAAAAAAAAUUAGAUGGUUGCAAGUUGUAUUGUUUUAAGGCAAAAUUAGCCUGUGUGUUUUGACAUGGUUAGAGCUUUUAGCAAACAAAAUGUGUCAUUAAGACAUUGGAGCCACUGUUUUGACCUGUGUGUGAACUGUUAAGAGAAUGUGUUGUUUCAUUCGACGGCUGCAUCAAAGCCAGAAAUUUUAAACUGUAAUAGAGAGUGGGAUCUACCAUACCAGGCAGGACCUAAGAUGUAGCCUGUGCAAAUAUGCCCCUGAAACAAUCCAGCACAUAACAACGGGGUGCAAGAUGCUAGGGACAGGGCAUACAUGGAAUGCUAUAAUCAAGUGGCCUGUUGAACAAAUUCUAUUUCUAAAUAAAAAACAAAUUAAAUAA